GACGAACCGUGCGAACGUUAUUCGGAAUCAUUGGGCUUAAAGGGCGCGUAGGCGGCGGUGUAAGUUGGAAGUGAAAUCCCAUCGGCUCAACCGUGGAAUUGCUCCCAGUACUGCACUGCUCAAGGGGGAUAGGGGUCCGCGGAACUACCGGUGGAGCGGUGAAAUGCGCAGAUAUCGGGAAGAACACCAGUGGCGAAGGCGGCUCUCUGGGACGGUACUGACGCUGAGACGCGAAAGCGUGGGGAGCAAACAGG
RNAcentral lists this ribosomal RNA (254 nucleotides) under uncultured bacterium. Its description in RNAcentral is "partial 16S ribosomal RNA". It matches the Rfam family "Bacterial small subunit ribosomal RNA", at positions 524 to 776 of the family's 1533-position model. The record is from RNAcentral.